CCUACGGGUGGCAGCAGUAGGGAAUAUUGCUCAAUGGGGGCAACCCUGACGCAGCAACGCCGCGUGGAGGAUGAAGGUUUUAGGAUUGUAAACUCCUUUUGUGAGAAAAGAUACUGACGGUAUCCCCCGAAUAAGCACCGGCUAACUCCGUGCCAGCAGCCGCGGUAAUACGGAGGGUGCAAGCGUUACUCGGAAUCACUGGGCGUAAAGCGUGCGGGCGGGCUUGUUAGUGAGAUGUGAAAUCACGUAGCUUAACUACAGAACUGGAUUUGAAACUAUGAGUAUAGAGUGUGGGAGGGGUAGGGGGAAUUCUUGGGGGAGGGGGAGAAUCCGUAGAUAUUAAGAGGAAUACUCAGUGCGAAGGCGACCUACUGGAACAUUACUGACGCUCAUGCACGAAAGCGCGGGGAGCAAACAGGAUUAGAUACCCCGGUAGUC
This 438-nucleotide ribosomal RNA is filed under the name uncultured bacterium. RNAcentral's name for it is "partial 16S ribosomal RNA". It matches the Rfam family "Bacterial small subunit ribosomal RNA", at positions 338 to 795 of the family's 1533-position model. The record is from RNAcentral.